Long non-coding RNA from Gadus macrocephalus (Pacific cod), 374 nucleotides. RefSeq lists it as uncharacterized. The transcript has 3 exons. The record is from RefSeq and is a predicted model, not a curated record. NCBI's taxonomy places the organism in Eukaryota, Metazoa, Chordata, Actinopteri, Gadiformes, Gadidae.
CCUGUAUGUGAGAGAAAAUACACCUUAUUCUCACACUGUUAAUUUCUGCAAAACCAAUUUCAGCGUCUUUGAAAAACUAGCUGUUUCACGAUCCUUAUUGAGGUGCGUUCCUUUGGGGGGCGCGAAUCCUCCCCCUGGCUCGCGCUCAGAUUGUUUUAGUUUAGCAGAAGUAAAACAUGUAUGUAUACAUAGCCUACGUCAUAUAACAGUCUUACGCAAAGGGAAAAGUUUAUAAAGCAUGAUAUCACCCCUUUAAUUGCGGUCGCAAGGGCACGCGUGUUUAAUUGCCGGCUGGGUCACGCGCAGUGCUGAUGACAGGCGCUGUCUCGUAUGGCUGUUGAAACAUCGAGUUAACUGCUCGAUAUGUGUUCUGU